AUGUUCAUGCUCUGUACUUACCUCAGUCUCCUUGUGUCUCCAGUUUCCUCAUCAAGUCACCGCUUCACUCCCCUGCAGCUUAAUUACCUGGAUGCUGGUCUCCUUGCCAAGAUUCUCUGCACCUCUCUGCAACCCACUCCUCAGAAUCAAAACCACUCAUCGCUUUCACCUGCCUACCCUUCUGCCCGUUGUUUCCUCUGGAUUAUCAAGAAAACAAGGUUGGAACUGCAUUCAUUCACUCACCUCUUGGACACUCACUCGGUUGCCCUCCCCAAAGCCUCACAACCUCUGCCUGCAAUGCCUCCACGUCAGAGACUCAACACCGCGUGUCUACAUUUGAGUACCCUCCCACGUACUGGCCUCCGGGCCCCCUUGACAUAGGUGUGUAAAGGAAGAAAUGGAAGAUAUUUGAUAGGACCCUUUGAGUAAAUGUUUUCUUUCUCUCAUUCCAGUAUCAUCAAAAUAAGCCUGCAGACUGAAAUGGAAACCCCACCCCACCCCAAACAUACAAGUUCAUUUCAGCCGUGCCCCUUUAAUGUCAGUCUUCUGUUAUGAAGCCAGGGAUAAGCAGAAAAAUAAAUAAAUAAAUAAAUGAAUGAAAAUUAAAAAGAAACAGAAAAAACCCUAUUAAAUUCAUUUCUGUGUGAAAGCUUGGAGCAAAGAGAUAGUAAAUAUCCAAUCACGGUGUCAUAGAGAAGGAUAUUAGUUUAUGCCGUGCUCUCUGUAUCUGUUUCUGUUUUAUUUGAAUUUGAGCUGUGUGUGUGUGUGUGUGUGUGUGUGUGUGUGUGUGUGUGUGCACCAGCAUGUGUGUCCACAUGUGUACUGAAAUAUUCAAAGUUGAGCUGAGGUACUUUACUCUUGCACUUGGUAAUUGUGACGACCCUCUAGACCUCACCUUCCUAUCUGUCUGUUUGUUAGGCUGCUGUUUCUUGCAGAUCCUGCAGAGGAGGUGAAAUCUAUGUAAAAUCAGCAGUAGUGGUCAGUGUGCAGUGCUCCAUAAAAACACCUUGGAAGUAGGUUGCUGUGUGGGGCUCCUCCUUUAGCCACUCUUUUGGAUUUUUGUUGCAGUUCAGUUUGUUUUCUUGCAUAAAAUCACUGCAUUCAUCACACCUUCAUUCACUCACUCACUUACACCAUCGGUGUGGUGUAUAGUUCACUGGAAUGGGCAAGCAAUCCAGGUUCUUAAAGACUGUAGCAGCCUGGGUUUGGUUCCAUCCCAGACUAUUUCCUGCAUCAUUCUCUCUCUCUCCUGUCUGUUCUCUGUUUUUGCUGUCUAUUAAUAAUAGCUAAAAAUGGCCAAAUAGGACUUAAUUAGGUAAACAAUCUCUUGUUAUUAAUGCAUUGUCAAACAUGCAGCUUGCUUGGCAGCAAGUGUCUUUAAACAGCAUGACAAUGAUAUUUAAUAAAAUAAAUCACAUAAAAUAUCCCACUUAAGGCAGACAAAAGUUACAGCUUUUAACUUUUAGAUUUAAACUAGGUGUGGGACUAAAAAUAUUAAUCUAAAGCGCAAAUGUUUUUUUAAUUUUAAAGGGUUUUAGUCGGCGACAGAAUAAAUAAUAGACAUGGACAUGAAUAUUGUAAACUCAACCUCUUUUAAUUUAUGGGGAAAAAAAUUUAAACUGCAUUUCAGUGCAAAACAGAGAAACAAAAGUAAUAUCCCCGGCCAAAACUGGGCAGACUUAAAAAUAAAGUGCUAUUUUAAGUACUUUAAGUACAUUUGGGUACUUUCGUACCUGGUAUAUAUAAAUGGUUUUGUCUUUAAAUAAUAAUAAUACAAAUUUCAUAAACAGAAAGUGCAGUUUUUCUUCUUAAAAAAAAUAAGGCAGAAACAUAAAAGGUUAUUUGACCAGCUUCACCUUUAAACUCUGGGUAACCUCAGCCAACCUUAUUUUGUACAUUAGGCUAAAACACUGUGAUCAUUGAACAUUUUAGUGUAAAAAAUAAUAAACCCAUUGGACUCACAAUACCUCCAUGCUUAUUUACUGUCCGUCUCUUUCAGACAGUUACUUAA
RNAcentral lists this long non-coding RNA (2011 nucleotides) under Oreochromis niloticus (Nile tilapia). RNAcentral describes it as "lncRNA (ENSONIG00000022597.2)". Lineage: Eukaryota; Metazoa; Chordata; Actinopteri; Cichliformes; Cichlidae. The record is from RNAcentral.